CGUGUAGGCGGUCUGGUAAGUGGGAUGUGAAAUCCCUCGGCUCACCCGAGGAUCUGCAUCCCAUACUGCUAGGCUUGAGUACGGGAGAGGAUGAGGGAAUUCCUGGUGUAGCGGUGAAAUGCGUAGAUAUCAGGAGGAACACCGGUGGCGAAAGCGCUCAUCUGGCCCGAUACUGACGCUGAGGCGCGAAAGCUAGGGGAGCAAACG
This 207-nucleotide ribosomal RNA is filed under the name uncultured bacterium. RNAcentral describes it as "partial 16S ribosomal RNA". It matches the Rfam family "Bacterial small subunit ribosomal RNA", at positions 568 to 774 of the family's 1533-position model. The record is from RNAcentral.